UACGUAGGUGGCAAGCGUUGUCCGGAAUUAUUGGGCGUAAAGCGCGCGCAGGCGGUUCCUUAAGUCUGAUGUGAAAGCCCACGGCUCAACCGUGGAGGGUCAUUGGAAACUGGGGGACUUGAGUGCAGAAGAGGAGAGCGGAAUUCCACGUGUAGCGGUGAAAUGCGUAGAGAUGUGGAGGGACACCAGUGGCGAAGGCGGCUCUCUGGUCUGUAACUGACGCUGAGGCGCGAAAGCGUGGGGAGCAAACAGG
Molecule: ribosomal RNA, 253 nt
Filed under: uncultured bacterium
Lineage: Bacteria
Description: partial 16S ribosomal RNA
Rfam family: Bacterial small subunit ribosomal RNA
Source: RNAcentral